CCUACGGGUGGCAGCAGUAGGGAAUCUUUCACAAUGGGCGAACGCCUGAUGGAGCAACGCCGCGUGCAGGAUGAAGGCCUUCGGGUUGUAAACUGCUUUUAUAAGCGAGAAAUAUGAUGGUAACUUAUGAAUAAGGAUCGGCUAACUACGUGCCAGCAGCCGAGUGCAUACGUAGGAGCCGAGCAUUAUCCGGAGUGACUGGGUGUAAAGAGUUGCGUAGGUGGCAUAAUAAGUAGCUAGUGAAAUCUGGUGGCUCAACCAUUCAGACUAUUAUCUAAACUGUUAAGCUCGAGACCGUUAGGGGUAAGUGGAAUUUGUAGUGUAGGAGUGAAAUGCGUAGAUAUUAGAAGGAACACCAAUAGCGUAGGCAGGUUACUGGGACGGUACUGACACUAAGGCACGAAAGCGUAGGUAGCAAACGGGAUUAGAUACCCUUGUAGUC
Molecule: ribosomal RNA, 442 nt
Filed under: uncultured bacterium
Lineage: Bacteria
Description: partial 16S ribosomal RNA
Rfam family: Bacterial small subunit ribosomal RNA
Source: RNAcentral